GUCUCUGCUGAGCACUGUGGAAUCAUGAGCUCCCUCUCAGGUCUGGGGGCAUCCGAGGCUCCACGUGGUGGCAUCAGCAGGGCUAAUGACACCGUUGGCAGGGCAAGGCUGGCAUGGUGCAAGCCCUGGCUGAGCAGGCACAUGGCUCUGCCUCGAGGGCUUGGGAUCAGCUGUGGGAGCAGAGAUCCGCUCUCAGCUUAUUCCAGCCCGCCUGGGGCCAACACUGAUGAACAAGAGCUGGCUGCAGCCUACCUCAUAGAGGAGCACAGUCUACAGGGACCAGGGAGUAUGGCGAUGUUGUCUCCGGGAAGUUUUGGAAAAGCUAUAAUAAAAAAUGUGCUAGGUUCAUGAAUGAAGGGAA
Molecule: long non-coding RNA, 361 nt
Filed under: Heterocephalus glaber (naked mole-rat)
Lineage: Eukaryota; Metazoa; Chordata; Mammalia; Rodentia; Bathyergidae
Description: lncRNA (ENSHGLG00000037142.1)
Source: RNAcentral